Long non-coding RNA from Mya arenaria, 1231 nucleotides. RefSeq lists it as uncharacterized. NCBI's taxonomy places the organism in Eukaryota, Metazoa, Mollusca, Bivalvia, Myida, Myidae. The transcript is spliced from 3 exons. The record is from RefSeq and is a predicted model, not a curated record.
CGUCAUUUUUUUUUAAACUACGCGCCAUUGUGCGCUGGGGGAAGUAACUCGAAUAAUCAAUCGGAACUCCUCGGCUAGUAUCAAGAUAUGGCCUCGGAUAUAAUACGGGUCGUAAGAAAAUAGUCCAUCAUGGCCGACCAAGAAGAUGUUCAAACAACCAAGAGAUAUGUUAGUCCAAAGACAGAAUGAGGAGCGAACUUUUACCACUUAUUUGUGUAGAAUAGUAUCAGGGGUGCAGCUGACUCUGAUUCCCAGCUUGUUCUAAUGAAAAAAGGCAGAUGAGGCACUGGAAUCCGAAUGUAAUCAAAAAUGCCAUUGUAUGAGGAUUGACCUGCAAUGCAUGGAAAUCAUCUAACACAACUGCAACUCCUACCUUGGAAAAAUGAGUGCAAGAUGGAAACAAAGCGUUCAGUGGAACAUCUUGUCAUCUCAAAUAUUUGAUGACUUACAUACUAAUGUGAAGUCGAAGAUAAAAGUCAUCUGUUGGUCCGUGAUUAUUAAAUAAAUCCGAACAUAUAUUUUAAAAGGGUAAUAUGGUAAAGGAUUUAUCUACGCUUAAAGUGGUUUUCCUAUAUUAUGGAGGGAAAAUAACUACAAAAACAGAAAUAGAUGGCAUCGGCAGACCAAAUAAAGGAGAACUAUUUUGUUCAGUUCAAUUUUUAAGACUUCAGAAAAUCCGUUAAUAGGGCACAUCCUUGCAAAUGCCAUAUUGUAAACUGGGCUCUUUAAAAUGUGAAAAGGUGAAAAAGGUCUAUAGGAUAAGCCUCAAAUUCAAGGUUGUGAGUUCAAGACCUCCAAGAUACUUUCUCUUGACCUCAGGAAAAGGAUGUCCAUACUUGUUUCUACUUAGGCAACAGACUUAAGAGUGAUUUUGUAAGCUUCCAGCUUGCAUAGCAAUCUGAUAAGGCAUAAAAUAAGAUACUAGCUGACUUGCAAACAGUUUUUCCAUUUGUGUUGAUUUAUUUUUCAUUCUGUUGGAAUGUUUAUUAGAAGUGAUGCGCAUUGCUUACUGCAACCAAUAUUUAUUUUCUUUAUUAAGUUAAAUUUAACGAACACAUAACAUGACUUGUGAUUUUACAGAUGCAUGUUUAUUUCGUUGAUUGUAUGAGUUUAUUUUCUCAAAUGAUGUAAUAAAAGUUAUUCUGAAUGACUGUCCUUUUUUGUUUGAAGAAAAUGUGUUGAGGUUUUGGCAUAGCAUAGUGUCAUCAUCAUCAUCAUCAUCAUUGUUGUG